AGAGUUUGAUCCUGGCUCAGAUUGAACGCUGGCGGCAUGCCUUACACAUGCAAGUCGAACGGCAGCACGGACUUCGGUCUGGUGGCGAGUGGCGAACGGGUGAGUAAUAUAUCGGAACAUACCCUAGAGUGGGGGAUAACGUAGCGAAAGUUACGCUAAUACCGCAUACGCACUAAGGUGGAAAGUGGGGGAUCGCAAGACCUCAUGCUCAUGGAGUGGCCGAUAUCUGAUUAGCUAGUUGGUGAGGUAAAGGCUCACCAAGGCGACGAUCAGUAGCUGGUUUGAGAGAACGACCAGCCACACUGGAACUGAGACACGGUCCAGACUCCUACGGGAGGCAGCAGUGGGGAAUUUUGGACAAUGGGCGCAAGCCUGAUCCAGCAAUGCCGCGUGAGUGAAGAAGGCCUUCGGGUUGUAAAGCUCUUUUGUCAGGGAAGAAACGGUUGUUCCUAAUACGGAUGGCUAAUGACGGUACCUGAAGAAUAAGCACCGGCUAACUACGUGCCAGCAGCCGCGGUAAUACGUAGGGUGCAAGCGUUAAUCGGAAUUACUGGGCGUAAAGCGUGCGCAGGCGGUUAUAUAAGUCAG
This 588-nucleotide ribosomal RNA is filed under the name uncultured bacterium. Its description in RNAcentral is "bacterial SSU rRNA". It matches the Rfam family "Bacterial small subunit ribosomal RNA", at positions 8 to 591 of the family's 1533-position model. The record is from RNAcentral.